AGUGGCGAACGGGUGAGUAAUACAUAGGUAACCUGCCCCUGUGCGGGGGAUAACAGGAGGAAACUCCUGCUAAUACCGCAUAGCCAUGAGCACCGCAUGGAGCUCAUGCCAAAUAUCCUUCAGGGGAUAGCGCAGGGAUGGACCUAUGGCGCAUUAGCUAGUUGGCGGGGCAACGGCCCACCAAGGCAACGAUGCGUAGCCGGCCUGAGAGGGCGGACGGCCACAUUGGGACUGAGACACGGCCCAGACUCCUACGGGAGGCAGCAGUAGGGAAUUUUCGGCAAUGGGGGAAACCCUGACCGAGCAACGCCGCGUGAGCGAAGAAGGCCUUCGGGUCGUAAAGCUCUGUUGUAAAGGAAGAACGUCGCAUGCAGGAAAUGGUGUGCGAGUGACGGUACUUUACCAGAAAGCCACGGCUAACUACGUGCCAGCAGCCGCGGUAAUACGUAGGUGGCGAGCGUUAUCCGGAAUCAUUGGGCGUAAAGAGGGAGCAGGCGGCCGCAAGGGUCUGUGGUGAAAGACCGAAGCUAAACUUCGGUAAGCCAUGGAAACCGGGCGGCUAGAGUGCGGAAGAGGAUCGUGGAAUUCCAUGCGUAGCGGUGAAAUGCGUAGAUAUAUGGAGGAACACCAGUGGCGAA
This 638-nucleotide ribosomal RNA is filed under the name uncultured bacterium. RNAcentral describes it as "bacterial SSU rRNA". It matches the Rfam family "Bacterial small subunit ribosomal RNA", at positions 94 to 719 of the family's 1533-position model. The record is from RNAcentral.